UGACUGCUAAUACCGCAUAAGCGCACAGUGCUGCAUGGCACAGUGUGAAAAACUACCGGUGGUAUGAGAUGGACCCGCGUCUGAUUAGCUAGUUGGUGGGGUAACGGCCUACCAAGGCGACGAUCAGUAGCCGGCCUGAGAGGGUGAACGGCCACAUUGGGACUGAGACACGGCCCAAACUCCUACGGGAGGCAGCAUG
RNAcentral lists this ribosomal RNA (199 nucleotides) under uncultured bacterium. RNAcentral's name for it is "partial 16S ribosomal RNA". It matches the Rfam family "Bacterial small subunit ribosomal RNA", at positions 157 to 353 of the family's 1533-position model. The record is from RNAcentral.